GGGUCAGUAGGUUCGUCGUGCCACCGGUACGUACUGGUCUCACUGAUUCCUCCUUCCUGAACAACCGUAAUGCCAUUAAUUUGGUGUUGCGGGGAAACAGGACUGUUACUUUGAAAAAAUUAGAGUGUUUAAAGCAAGCUAACGCUUGAAUACAUUAGCAUGGAAUAAUGAAAUAGGACGAUCGAUCCUAUUUUGUUGGUUUCUAGGAUUGACGUA
RNAcentral lists this ribosomal RNA (216 nucleotides) under Glomeromycotina sp. RNAcentral describes it as "partial small subunit ribosomal RNA". The stretch from base 40 to 216 matches the Rfam family "Eukaryotic small subunit ribosomal RNA", at positions 686 to 864 of the family's 1831-position model. The record is from RNAcentral. Lineage: Eukaryota; Fungi; Glomeromycota.